AAAAUACGACUUCGGCCUAUCUGGCUUCGCAUCGAUGAAGAACGUAGCGACACGAUACUUGGUGGAAUUCAGAACCCGUGAACCAUCGAGUCUUUCGAACCAAGUUGCGCCCGAACGUUAGGCCGAGGGCACGUCUGCCUGGGCGUCA
RNAcentral lists this ribosomal RNA (148 nucleotides) under Ipomoea nil (Japanese morning glory). RNAcentral describes it as "5.8S ribosomal RNA". It matches the Rfam family "5.8S ribosomal RNA". Rfam says of the family: 5.8S ribosomal RNA (5.8S rRNA) is a component of the large subunit of the eukaryotic ribosome. It is transcribed by RNA polymerase I as part of the 45S precursor that also contains 18S and 28S rRNA. Functionally, it is thought that 5.8S rRNA may be involved in ribosome translocation. The record is from Rfam by way of RNAcentral. Lineage: Eukaryota; Viridiplantae; Streptophyta; Magnoliopsida; Solanales; Convolvulaceae.